Molecule: long non-coding RNA, 335 nt
Filed under: Homo sapiens (human)
Lineage: Eukaryota; Metazoa; Chordata; Mammalia; Primates; Hominidae
Description: HSALNT0007992
Source: RNAcentral
CCUGGCUCAGCUGACCCCUUGGUUCCUGUGUCUGUUCCCUGCUGGGCUGUCAAAAGCUGAGUGAAGCAGUGGUCCAGCUGGAAUUCAACACCUGAGAUAUCUGACUCCAGAUACCAGCCCUUCCUUGCUUCCCACUAGCUGCCUAACCCAGAGAGGAGAUUGGGAAAAGAGAAACAAGUUACAGAAUUCAAGAGUAGGUAUCAUCUGGGGUCUUCCUGAAGGAACAAGUGUUGCUCCAGAGAAGCCAGAAAUUCUUAUCUCUGCUUUGCUCUAACCACCUCUUUAGGCUUUAUGACUGAAGAGUCCCUUUGGCCCCUUAACUCCACAAGGCUGAC